AGUGAACGCUGGCGGUAGGCCUAACACAUGCAAGUCGAACGGCAGCACAGUAAGAGCUUGCUCUUACGGGUGGCGAGUGGCGGACGGGUGAGGAAUACAUCGGAAUCUACUUUUUCGUGGGGGAUAACGUAGGGAAACUUACGCUAAUACCGCAUACGACCUACGGGUGAAAGCAGGGGAUCUUCGGACCUUGCGCGAUUGAAUGAGCCGAUGUCGGAUUAGCUAGUUGGCGGGGUAAAGGCCCACCAAGGCGACGAUCCGUAGCUGGUCUGAGAGGAUGAUCAGCCACACUGGAUCUGAGACACGGUCCAGACUCCUACGGGAGGCAGCAGUGGGGAAUAUUGGACAAUGGGCGCAAGCCUGAUCCAGCCAUACCGCGUGGGUGAAGAAGGCCUUCGGGUUGUAAAGCCCUUUUGUUGGGAAAGAAAAGCAGCAGGUUAAUACCCCGCCGUUCUGACGGUACCCAAAGAAUAAGCACCGGCUAACUUCGUG
Molecule: ribosomal RNA, 492 nt
Filed under: uncultured bacterium
Lineage: Bacteria
Description: partial 16S ribosomal RNA
Rfam family: Bacterial small subunit ribosomal RNA
Source: RNAcentral